CAAAAAGGGAGAAGGAAGCGGAGAGUAAAGAUAGCUCUUUGGUUAUGGCGUUAAUCUUACGUGGAACGAAAGUGGAUUAUAGUUAAUGUCAAUCUAAUUGCGUAAUUCGAAUCGAUAUGACGAUAAUAUCGAAGAAGAAGGCAAUCUCUUGCCGCGUGAAAUAGCAAACCGAUACUUUCGUUCAUGCGGUUCUUGCACGCGUUUCCGCCACGUUGUAGCGGAACACAAUGUGAUGGAAACACGCUACUAUUAGGUCAUUCCAUAAGUUUGUGCCGUUUUUCGAGCGGUUAUAUAUGUUAAAUAUUAGGUCAUCCCAUAAGUUCGUGCCGUUUUUCGAGCGGUUAUAUAUGUUAUCUUUUUUAAACACCUAUGAAUC
This is a long non-coding RNA of Bombus impatiens (common eastern bumble bee), 376 nucleotides long. RefSeq lists it as uncharacterized. The record is from RefSeq and is a predicted model, not a curated record. The transcript has 3 exons. NCBI's taxonomy places the organism in Eukaryota, Metazoa, Arthropoda, Insecta, Hymenoptera, Apidae.